GCUACGGGGGGCAGCAGUGGGGAAUAUUGCACAAUGGGGGAAACCCUGAUGCAGCGACGCCGCGUGAGUGAAGAAGUAUUUCGGGAUGUAAAGCUCUGUCAGCAGGGAAGAAAAUGACGGUACGUGAACAAGAAGCCCCGGCAAACUACGUGCCAGCAGCCGCGGGAAUCCGUCGGGGGCAAGCGUUUGCCGGAUUUACUGGGUGUAAAGGGAGCGUCGACGGCAGGGCAGGACUGGAGAUAAAGGCGGGGGCUCACCCCCCGGACUGCUCUGGAAACUGCCAGGCUGGAGUGCAGGAGUGGUAAGUGGAAUUCCUUGUGUAUCGGUGAACUGCGUAGAUAUUAGGAGGAACACCAGUGGCGAAGGCGGCUUACUGGACUGUAACUGACGUUGAGGCUCGAAAGCGUGGGGAGCAAACAGGAUUAGAUACCCGGGUAGUC
RNAcentral lists this ribosomal RNA (440 nucleotides) under uncultured bacterium. RNAcentral's name for it is "partial 16S ribosomal RNA". It matches the Rfam family "Bacterial small subunit ribosomal RNA", at positions 338 to 795 of the family's 1533-position model. The record is from RNAcentral.